UAUAACUGUACAAAGGUAGCAUAAUCAUUUGUCUUUUAAUUGAAGGCUUGUAUGAAUGGUUGGACGAGGAAUUAACUUUCUUUACUUAAAUUUUAUGAAUUUAAUUUUUUAGUUAAAAAGCUUAAAUGUUUUUGCAAGACGAGAAGACCCUAUAGAAUUUUAUUUAAUUAUAUAUAUUUAAUCUUUGGGUUUUAAAUAUUUAAUUUAUAUAAUUAAAUUUUGUUGGGGUGACAGUGAGAUUAAAUCAACUCUCA
This 254-nucleotide ribosomal RNA is filed under the name Ceraleptus gracilicornis. RNAcentral describes it as "partial large subunit ribosomal RNA". Lineage: Eukaryota; Metazoa; Arthropoda; Insecta; Hemiptera; Coreidae. The record is from RNAcentral.